AGUCUGCAGGGCCUCUCUGGGCACUGACCUAGGAUAGAGUUGAGGUGCGGCAGCGCUGGACACCAGGGACCCUGCCUGCCUCCUGGGGAGCGGGGUGACCCAGGCAGCCCCGGUGAGGCCGCGAAUGUCUGGGCCCUACCUAGCAAGGCUGCUGGGCUCCCAUGGGACUGAUGCGGACAGUGAGGCCAGGGAGGCCCUGCUGCCCUCGGACUGUCCCUCCAGCCCCCAGCUUUCCGUGGUUCUAAGGGCCCCCUCUGCAGAGGGACCAGGGAGCCCGCCCUGCAUCCUGAGGCGCCGCACUGGAGGGACCCCAGAGCUCUGGUCAGGCCGCUUCCUUUGUGAAUCGCAAAGCUGAGGUCCACACGAGGGCAGAGGCAGGUCCUGACAGCUUCCCAGGCAAAGAGAGGCGAUCCUGGAGCUGGGGUCACACGGCUCCAGUCCUGCAACCUCUAGGGCCCUAGAGGUGGGAGGAGAGACUGGGGCCUUUCGUCCACCGCUGGGUCUGGGCACAGGCUCAGCCUGUGCCACAACGUGAAGCUGCUUCUGUGCAGUCCAAGCCGCGGCCCCUUUAAGAGGGGGGUGGUGCGUCAGCCAGUCGUUAGGGACGCUGCUGGCGUGCGCACUCUACGGAAGCCGAGACGGCGCUUCCCACGGAGCCCCAGAAGCCGUGGCAUCUUUGAAGGGAGCAGAUGCAGCAGCGGUGUGGUUGGAGCCAGCGAAAGCAGCGGCCAAAGGCGGCGGCGAGGUCCAACCGAGCAGAAGCGGAGUCGGUAUCUGAGCGAGCAGAAGAGGUGGUGCAGUCCCAGCCAGCAGAAGUGGCGGCAUUAUGGUCCCAGCCAGUGGAAGCGGCGGCCAGAGGCUGCGGUGUAAUCCUACUGAGCAGAAGAGGAGUAGGCGUCUCAGCAAGCAGUAUGGGCAGCGUCUACAAGUGGCGGCGCAGUCCCAGCUGGCAGAAGUGGAGACAGUGUUCCAGCGAGCAAAGCGGCAGCGUCCAGAAGCUGCGGGCAGGGUCCCAGCCAGCAGAAGCGGAGUCGGCGUCCCAGCGAGCAGACGUGGCCGCGCGGUCCCAGUGAGCUUCGGAGAAGCAGUGGUGGCUUCCAGGUGAUGGGGGAGCAGGAGGCAGGUCUCCCUGGUUUAUCUGGGUUGCUCCACAGGACACUGUUUCAUCAUUUUGGUGGCCAAAGAAUAUUCCCUAGUGUAUGCAUAUGAGAAUUUCUUGAUCCCUUUAUCUGUGGAUGGACAGCUUUUAGGAGAUGAAGAUGUUUUCAGUCUGCAUGCCUGAGAUCGUGUGGAAUGGGACUUUCUCUACCAGGCUCAUUCGUUGGACCCAAUGUUCUCCAGGUUUCUUCAUGUGGCUGCAGAUGGCAGGAUUUUCCAGAGCUUUAUGGCUGGAACAUACUCUGUGGUGUAUCUGUACAGCAGUUUCUUCAUCUCUGCAGCUGUGUGUGGACAGGUCAUAUACUGUGAUGUCCUUCAGGUUCAACAGUGUGGCUCCAAAUGAUGAAAUUUCAUUCUGGUUUUCUAGCUGAAGACGAUUCUAUUUGUGCACAUAUACCAGGUAUCCCUUCAUCUGUGGAUGGGCAGGUUUUUCCAAGUGGCUGCAAGUGAUGAGAUUUCACCCAUUUCUAUGAUUGAAGAAUAUUCUGCUCUGUAUGUAUAUUGCAGUUUCCUCAUCCCUUCAUCAAUGGAUGAACAGUCUAUCAUUGAUGGGCAUGUGGGUUGGUCCCAUGCCUUUCCUAUUGUGAAUAAUGCUGUAAAAAACAUACGUGGAGCAGAUGGUGCUCAGAGCAAGAUGGGCCUCUGAGCAAGAUGGAGCUCCAAGCAUGAUGGAGCUUGGAUAGAGCAGAUAGAGCUCCAGGGGAGAUGGAGCUCUGAGCAGUAUGAACCUCACAGCAGAUGGACCUCUGAACAAGAUGGAGCUUCAAGCAUGAUUGAGCUUGGAUGGAGCAGAUGAAACUCCAGGUGAGAUGGAGCUCUGAGCAUUAUGAACCUCACAGCAGAUGUUAUGCAGAGUAACAUGGAGCUCCAAGCAUAUGGUCUCAGGGCAAAAUGGAGCUCAGAGCAGAUGGUGCUCAGAGCAGGAUGGAGCUUGGAGUGACUAGAGCUCCAACCUAGAAGAAGAUUCAAGCAGAUAAUGUUCACAGCAAGAGGGAACUCAGAGUAAUUGGAGCUCCGAGCAAGACAGAACCCAGAGCAGAUGGGGCUUAGAGCAGAUGGUGCUCAGAGCAAAAUGGAGCUAGGAGUGAUUAGAACUAUGAGCAAGAUGGAGCUCAGAGCAGAUGAAGCUCUGAGCAAAUUGUACCCAGAGCAAUAUGGAGCUCAGAAUAGAUGGUGCUUAGAAUAAGUUGGAGCACCAAGAAUAUGGUGCUCAGAGCAAGGUGGAGCUCAGAAUGGUUGGAGGUCAGAACAGAAGGAGCUAGCAGAUGUUGCUCCUAGUAAGAUGAAGUUCUUAGCAGAUGGUACUCAGAGCAAGCUGGAGCUCCAAGCAGAUGGUACUCAGAGUAAGAUGGACCUAAGAAUGAUUAGAACUCCAAGAAAGAUAAUGCUCUGUGCAGAUGAUGCUUAGAGCAAGAUAGAGCUCAGAGUGACUGGAGAUCUGAGCAAGAUGAAGUACCUCCAAGUGAGAUGGAGCUUUGAGCAGAUGUUGCUUGGUGUAAGAUGGAGCUCGAAGCAAGAUGGAGCUUGGAGUGAUUGGAACUGUGAACAUUGCUCUGAGCAAUUGGAACUCUGAGCAAGAUGGAUCUCUGAGGAAGAAAGAGCUCGAAGCAAGUUGGAGCUUGGAGUGAUUGGAACUGUGAACACUGCUCUGAGCAAUUGGAACUCUGAGCAAGAUGGAUCUCUGAGGAAGAAGGAGCUCUAAGCAAGAUGGAGCUUGGAGCAGAUGUUCCUUGGUUUUAGAUGGAGCUCAGAGAAGACGGACUUCAGAGCAGAUAGAGCACUGAACAAAAAGGAGCAAUGAGCAAGAUGGAACUUGGAGCAGAUGUUGCUUUGUUAAGAUGGAGCUCAGAGCAGAUGGUGCUCAGAGCAACAUGGAGCUCAGAGUGAUUGAGAUGUAAAACAUUGCUCUGAGAGAUUGGAGCUCUGAGCACAUGGUGCUCGGAGCAACAUGGAGCUCUUAGUGAUUGGAACUUCGAACACAAUGGGGCUUGGAGCAAAUGCAGCUCUGAGCAACAUUUAGCCCAGAAAACAUGUUGCUCAGAGUAAGAUGGAGCUUGAGCAGAUGGUGCUCAGAGUGAAGUUGGAAGUGAUUGGCACUCUCAGCAAAAUGGAGCUUGGAGCAGAUGGAUCUCUGAGCAAGAUUGAGCUUGGAGCAGAUGAAGCUCUGAGCAAGAAGGAGCUCUAAGCAAGAUAGAGCUUGGAGCAAGUGUUGCUUGGUUUCAGAUGGAGCUCAGAACAAAUGGUGCUCAGAGAAAGAGGGAGCUCAGAGAACAUGCUGCUCACAGUAAGAUGGCACUUCGAGCAGAUGGUUCUCAGAGCAGAAUGGAGCUGGAAGCGAUUGGAGACCUCAGCAAGAUGGGGCUAGGAGAAGUUGAAGCUCCAAGCAGAUGGAGCUCUGAGCAGAGGGUGCUCAGAGCAAGAUGGAGCUUGGAACAAAUGGAGCUUCAAGCAGAUGGUGCUCAGAGCAAAAUGGAGCUCAGAAUAAUGGGAGCUCUAAGCAAGUUGGAGCUUGGAGCUUCAAGCAGAUGGUGCUCAGAGCAAAAUGGAGCUCAGAGUAAUGGGAGCUCUGAGCAAGAUGGAGCUUGGAGCAAAUGGAGCUUCAGGCAGAUCGUGCUCAGAGCAAGAUGGAGCUUGGAAUGAUUGGAGCUCCGAACCAUAUGGAGCUUGGAUCAGAUAGACCUCUGAGCAAGAAGGAGCUCCAAGCAAGAUGGAGCUUGUAGCAGAUAUUGCUGGUAUAAGAUGGAACUCUGAGCAGCUGGUGCUCAGAGCAAGAGGGAGCUUGGAUUGAUUGGCACUCUGAACAUUGCUCUGAGCAAUUGGAGCUCAGAGUAAGAUGAGCUCUGACCAGAUGGUGUUCAGAGAAAAAUGGAGCCUGAAGUGAUUGGAGCCCCCAGCAAGAUGGAGCUCAGAGUGAUUGGAACUCCAAGCAAGAUGGAGCUUGGAGUAUAUGGAUCUCCGACUAGAUGGAGCUCCAAGUAAGGUAAAUGUCUAUGCAGAUGGUGCUCAGAGCAAGAUACUUCUUGGAGUGAUUGGAGCUCCAAGCAAGAUGGAGCUUGGAGCAGAUGAAGCUCUGAGCAAGAAGGAUUUUGGAGUAGAUAGAGCUUGGAGCAAGAAGGAGCUCUAUUGCAGCAGAUGAAGCUCGGUGUAAGAUAGAGCUCAGAGAUGAUGAUGCUCAAGAAAGCUUGAGCUCAGAGUGAUUGGCACUCCAAACAUUACUCUGAGCCAUUAGACCUCAAAGCAGAUCAUGCUCAGAGCAAGAUGGGGCUCAGAGUGAUGAACUUUGAGCAAGCUGGAGCUGGUAACAGAUGGAGCUUGGAAAAGGUGUUGCUUAGCAUAAGAUGGUGCUCAGAGCAAGAUGAAGCUCAGAGUGAUUGGAACUCCCAGCAAGUUUGAACUCAGAGCAGAUGGACCUUCAAGCAAGACAGAACUCAGAGAUGUUGCUCACAGAAAGAUGGGGCUCUGUGCAGACAGCACUCAGGGCAUAAACACCCGACAUUUGUUUUUUGCAAUCUUCACAGAAGGAAAUUCUAGCAAAUUUUAGUACCAAACUUCUAGAGAAGGAGCAGAUCAGAUCUUUAUUGGCUGCAUAUACUAUGAUGACCAUCAUAGAAUCACCUUGCAAUGGAACAUUUACAGUUUAGGUAUCAACAGAAUAUAGAAUCCAAGAGAAGACUUAAGGAUUCCUACCUCAAGCUCAUUGUCUUCAAAUAGCAGAAGGGAGAUCUACUUAUCAAAGGUUAGUUUUAGUGUUUCUUUUCCUUUGGUUUUCAGAUUUCUAAUAUAAUUCUUGUAUUUUCUGUUAACAGAUCAGGGCAGAUCCAGGAGCACAUUAGAGAUCUUAUAAACUCAGGUGUCUUACCUUUAGGAAAGGGCUACUAAGGGUUGGCUCUGCUGGGUUGUCACCUGGUCUUCAUUCUCAUGGCUCUUCCCUUUCCUGGGACUCCUGGCUUUUAUCUUCAUUCUCCUUUUUGGCCCUUGCUUUCUGAAUCUUCUAAGUUUGUUUCCUCGCACCUAGAAACCAUCAUACUUCCAAUGGUCUUGUGAUGGUGAUAUCAACCUCUUUCUUUCCCUCCAGGACACCAAGUUCCUACAUGUCUCAUCUGGACACCAUGGGUCAGACCUUCCAAGAGACAACAAAAAUCACUGAAACCUCAUGACAGCAAGCAAGGAGGAAGGAUCCUGAAGACCCAUGAUGGCCCCUUUCAGCAGGAAGUAGAUACAGAGAAUGAAUUCUGCCCCAUCUACCAAAAGAUUUCUGGGUCCCAACUCCUUGAGGAAAAAAAUGUAAGAGUAGACAGAUAUGAGCAGAAGAAGGGGGAGGUAUCCAUGUUGGAAAGAAUAUCCUGGAACAUGUCUUAGAAUGCCCAGUACUCACUCUAUGGUCUAACUGUCAGAAUGUUGUUAACUAGAUCCUCAUAAAGAAGGAAAAGGGCAAAAGGGAAUUCCUGAGAGCUGAGCAGGUACAAUGGGUACAAAACUGACUGCUUUACCUUCCUGGGGUGGCAGUAAUAAGCAGGGCCACCAUUAGAUAGAAUUCUUACUGAUCACUGGUUUCUGUGCCUGUGCAUUAAGCACAGUAAGGGAAGAUCCCUCAACCUUUGGUGAGAACUGGAUAAACAAAGAACUGAGGCAACAGAAGAUCACAAUGCACAAUGUCAUGGUGGUGUUUCCAGCAGGGUCAGCCCACUCCUCUCCUGGAGUGUGUUUGUACUUCCCAAUAAAACUUUUGCUGGGUUUACAAAUUA
This is a non-coding RNA of Callithrix jacchus (white-tufted-ear marmoset), 5903 nucleotides long. Lineage: Eukaryota; Metazoa; Chordata; Mammalia; Primates; Cebidae. The record is from RefSeq and is a predicted model, not a curated record.